GCUAGCUACAGGCUUAACACAUGCAAGUCGAGGGGAAACGACAUCGAAAGCUUGCUUUUGAUGGGCGUCGACCGGCGCACGGGUGAGUAACGCGUAUCCAACCUGCCCACCACUUGGGGAUAACCUUGCGAAAGUAAGACUAAUACCCAAUGAUAUCUCUAGAAGACAUCUGAAAGAGAUUAAAGAUUUAUCGGUGAUGGAUGGGGAUGCGUCUGAUUAGCUUGUUGGCGGGGUAACGGCCCACCAAGGCAACGAUCAGUAGGGGUUCUGAGAGGAAGGUCCCCCACAUUGGAACUGAGACACGGUCCAAACUCCUACGGGAGGCAGCAGUGAGGAAUAUUGGUCAAUGGACGAGAGUCUGAACCAGCCAAGUAGCGUGCAGGAUGACGGCCCUAUGGGUUGUAAACUGCUUUUAUAAGGGAAUAAAGUGAGUCUCGUGAGACUUUUUGCAUGUACCUUAUGAAUAAGGACCGGCUAAUUCCGUGCCAGCAGCCGCGGUAAUACGGAAGGUCCGGGCGUUAUCCGGAUUUAUUGGGUUUAAAGGGAGCGUAGGCCGGAGAUUAAGCGUGUUGUGAAAUGUAGACGCUCAACGUCUGCACUGCAGCGCGAACUGGUUUCCUUGAGUACGCACAAAGUGGGCGGAAUUCGUGGUGUAGCGGUGAAAUGCUUAGAUAUCACGAAGAACUCCGAUUGCGAAGGCAGCUCACUGGAGCGCAACUGACGCUGAAGCUCGAAAGUGCGGGUAUCGAACAGGAUUAGAUACCCUGGUAGUCCGCACGGUAAACGAUGGAUGCCCGCUGUUGGUCUGAAUAGGUCAGCGGCCAAGCGAAAGCAUUAAGCAUCCCACCUGGGGAGUACGCCGGCAACGGUGAAACUCAA
RNAcentral lists this ribosomal RNA (879 nucleotides) under uncultured bacterium. RNAcentral's name for it is "bacterial SSU rRNA". It matches the Rfam family "Bacterial small subunit ribosomal RNA", at positions 35 to 904 of the family's 1533-position model. The record is from RNAcentral.